AACGAACGCUGGCGGCAUGCCUAACACAUGCAAGUCGAACGAGACCUUCGGGUCUAGUGGCGCACGGGUGCGUAACGCGUGGGAACCUGCCCUUAGGUUCGGAAUAACUCCCCGAAAGGGGUGCUAAUACCGGAUAAUGUCUUCGGACCAAAGAUUUAUCGCCUUUGGAUGGGCCCGCGUUGGAUUAGCUAGUUGGUAGGGUAAAAGCCUACCAAGGCGACGAUCCAUAGCUGGUCUGAGAGGAUGAUCAGCCACACUGGGACUGAGACACGGCCCAGACUCCUACGGGAUGCAGCAGUGGGGAAUAUUGGACAAUGGGCGAAAGCCUGAUCCAGCAAUGCCGCGUGAGUGAUGAAGGUCUUAGGGUUGUAAAGCUCUUUUACCCGGGAUGAUAAUGACAGUACCGGGAGAAUAAGCUCCGGCUAACUCCGUG
This 433-nucleotide ribosomal RNA is filed under the name uncultured bacterium. RNAcentral's name for it is "partial 16S ribosomal RNA". It matches the Rfam family "Bacterial small subunit ribosomal RNA", at positions 29 to 507 of the family's 1533-position model. The record is from RNAcentral.